AGAAAAAGCUGAUCUUCGAGAUAAAGAGCCUCAGUCUAUUAAAACAGAAAAGCCUAAGCCAUCUUCAAAAGGAACAUCUGAAGACACAGACUCAGGUAA
Molecule: long non-coding RNA, 99 nt
Organism: Onychomys torridus (southern grasshopper mouse)
Lineage: Eukaryota; Metazoa; Chordata; Mammalia; Rodentia; Cricetidae
Exons: 3
Source: RefSeq, a predicted model, not a curated record